RNAcentral lists this transfer RNA (72 nucleotides) under Ictidomys tridecemlineatus (thirteen-lined ground squirrel). RNAcentral describes it as "Spermophilus tridecemlineatus (thirteen-lined ground squirrel) tRNA". It matches the Rfam family "tRNA". Rfam says of the family: Transfer RNA (tRNA) molecules are approximately 80 nucleotides in length. Their secondary structure includes four short double-helical elements and three loops (D, anti-codon, and T loops). Further hydrogen bonds mediate the characteristic L-shaped molecular structure. tRNAs have two regions of fundamental functional importance: the anti-codon, which is responsible for specific mRNA codon recognition, and the 3' end, to which the tRNAs corresponding amino acid is attached (by aminoacyl-tRNA synthetases). tRNAs cope with the degeneracy of the genetic code in two manners: having more than one tRNA (with a specific anti-codon) for a particular amino acid; and 'wobble' base-pairing, i.e. permitting non-standard base-pairing at the 3rd anti-codon position. Lineage: Eukaryota; Metazoa; Chordata; Mammalia; Rodentia; Sciuridae. The record is from Rfam by way of RNAcentral.
GGGGUUGUGGCUCAGUGGUAGAGCACUUGCCUAGCACAUGUGAGGCACUGGGUUUGAUUCUCAGCACCACUU